AUUGCUGUUUGGGUCUUUUCGAAGAAUAUGUGUUUUGCUGAGAUGAUAAUGCGUAUAUUGUUUUUCGUGACGAGGGUUUCGUUUUGUCAGUAGGGAAACAACUCUUUAGGCGGUUUUUUGCGACGUCUCGCAGUGCCGAAGGUUGAUUUUUUCCCUAACGACUGGUUUAUUUUCGAGUUUUUUCAGGACUCGAAUAAAAUAUGCGAAUGAAGAUGAUUCGCUCGGUUAAAAAGUUACAGAAAUAUCGAGGGUGUGGUCAGAUAUUUUGAAAUUGAGAGUAUAUGUACCCACUUCCCCCCUUUUUAGUGAGGGCGGACAGCUGAAUUCAUCUUUCGACAAACUGCCUACAUACUCUUUAUGGAGAUCAAGCCGUCUCGUAGUUCGGUAGUUGUAAAGUGGCCCGUUUAGUGAUAGUAUUUUUUGAGAUGCAUUGCGUUCCAGGUUCUAAGAAUUUUUACGCCUUGCGUGUUGGCUAUCUCGUAGGAACCUAGUCGAACGACUUUUACGAUCUUGUAGGGUCCUUCCCAGUUUGCUCCAAGUUUUCCCGCGUUUCGCUCGACGGUGUUUUGGAAGACUUUG
RNAcentral lists this long non-coding RNA (579 nucleotides) under Brassica napus (rape). RNAcentral's name for it is "long non-coding RNA (BNAP_LNC013989)". The record is from RNAcentral. Lineage: Eukaryota; Viridiplantae; Streptophyta; Magnoliopsida; Brassicales; Brassicaceae.